Small nucleolar RNA from Cannabis sativa, 67 nucleotides. RefSeq annotates it as small nucleolar RNA Z103. Lineage: Eukaryota; Viridiplantae; Streptophyta; Magnoliopsida; Rosales; Cannabaceae. The record is from RefSeq and is a predicted model, not a curated record. The transcript has a single exon.
AAGGAGGUGAUGACUAUUUCCCCAGAUGAUCGGAGCUGAUUAUAUUGAGCGCACUAUUUAUCUCUUU